UACAGAGGGUGCGAGCGUUGUCCGGAAUUACUGGGCGUAAAGGACGCGUAGGCGGCCUGAUAAGUCGGGGGUGAAAGUCAGCGGCUCAACCGCUGGACUGCCUUCGAGACUGUCGGGCUUGAGCAUGGUAGAGGCUGGCGGAAUUCCCGGUGUAGCGGUGGAAUGCGUAGAGAUCGGGAAGAACAUCGGUGGCGAAGGCGGCCAGCUGGGCCAUUGCUGACGCUGAUGCGCGACAGCGUGGGGAGCAAACAGG
Molecule: ribosomal RNA, 253 nt
Filed under: uncultured bacterium
Lineage: Bacteria
Description: partial 16S ribosomal RNA
Rfam family: Bacterial small subunit ribosomal RNA
Source: RNAcentral